This 253-nucleotide ribosomal RNA is filed under the name uncultured bacterium. Its description in RNAcentral is "partial 16S ribosomal RNA". It matches the Rfam family "Bacterial small subunit ribosomal RNA", at positions 524 to 776 of the family's 1533-position model. The record is from RNAcentral.
GACAGAGGGUGCAAACGUUGUUCGGAAUUACUGGGCGUAAAGCGCGUGUAGGCGGUCCUGCAAGUCGGAUGUGAAAUCCCACGGCUCAACCGUGGAAGUGCAUUCGAAACUGCAGGGCUAGAGUCCUGGAGAGGAAGGUGGAAUGCUUGGUGUAGAGGUGAAAUUCGUAGAUAUCAAGCGGAACACCGGUGGCGAAGGCGGCCUUCUGGACAGUGACUGACGCUGAGACGCGAAAGCGUGGGGAGCAAACAGG